Molecule: non-coding RNA, 394 nt
Organism: Trichuris muris
Lineage: Eukaryota; Metazoa; Nematoda; Enoplea; Trichinellida; Trichuridae
Source: Rfam
GAGCUUGACUCAAGUCUGACUCUGUGAAGAGAUAUUGAAAGUGUAGCACAGGUUGGAGGAUCGCAAGGGCUGGCAGUGAAACACCACUACUUUGAUCGUUCCUUUUUUUAUUCGGUCAAGUGGAAGGAAGGAUUGACUACCGUGUGAUGACGCACGGUGAGUUGUCCAGGAUGAUCCGCUCUGAAGACAGUGUCAGGGUGGAGUUUGAGUGGGCCUUUACGUCUGUUAAAUGGUAACGCAGGUGUCCCAAGUUGACCUCAGCGAGGACAGAAACCUCAUCCAGGGUAAACAGAAAAAGCUCGAUUGAUUUUGAUUUCCAUAGCCUGUUGCAAUACUGUUUUUCUAAACUGACCACGUCUUGAAACUUUGAUAGAGUCAAUCAGUAAAGGUUUUC